GAUGAAGAACGCAGCGAAAUGCGAUAAGUAGUGUGAAUUGCAGAAUUCAGUGAUUCAUCGAAUCUUUGAACGCACAUUGCGCCCCUUGGUAUUCCAUGGGGCAUGCCUGUUCGAGCGUCAUUUGUACCUUCAAGCUCUGCUUGGUGUUGGGUGUUUGUCUCGCCUCUGCGUGUAGACUCGCCUCAAAACAAUUGGCAGCCGGCGUAUUGAUUUCGGAGCGCAGUACAUCUCGCGCUUUGCACUCAUAACGACGACGUCCAAAAGUACAUUUUUACACUCUUGACCUCGGAUCAGGUAGGGAUACCCGCUGAACUUAAGCAUAUCAAUAAGCGGAGGA
RNAcentral lists this unclassified non-coding RNA (337 nucleotides) under soil metagenome. RNAcentral's name for it is "partial contains 5.8S ribosomal RNA, internal transcribed spacer 2, and large subunit ribosomal RNA". The stretch from base 1 to 120 matches the Rfam family "5.8S ribosomal RNA", at positions 35 to 154 of the family's 154-position model. The record is from RNAcentral.